Molecule: unclassified non-coding RNA, 225 nt
Filed under: plant metagenome
Description: partial contains small subunit ribosomal RNA, internal transcribed spacer 1, and 5.8S ribosomal RNA
Source: RNAcentral
UCUCCGUUGGUGAACCAGCGGAGGGAUCAUUACAGGACUCGCAAGACUCCUACAACCCUGUGAACUUAACUAUAAGCACGUUUCCUCGGCGGGUGUCUCGGAGGGGGUUCUCCCUCCCCGGGACGUGAAACCCGCCGGCAGCCUACUAUACUCUGUCUCUUUGCGUUGGCAUCUCGAGUACAAUCAAACAAGUUAAAACUUUCAACAACGGAUCUCUUGGUUCUG